GAUGAAGAACGUAGCGAAAUGCGAUACGUAAUGUGAAUUGCAGAAUUCAGUGAAUCAUCGAGUCUUUGAACGCACAUUGCGCCCUCUGGUAUUCCGGAGGGCAUGCCUGUCCGAGCGUCAUUGCUGCCCUCAAGCACGGCUUGUGUGUUGGGCUCCGUCCCACGAUCCCGGGGGACGGGCCCGAAAGGCAGCGGCGGCACCGCGUCCGGUCCUCGAGCGUAUGGGGCUUUGUCACCCGCUCUGUAGGCCCGGCCGGCGCUUGCCGAUCAACCAAAUUUUUAUCCAGGUUGACCUCGGAUCAGGUAGGGAUACCCGCUGAACUUAAGCAUAUCAAUAAGCGGAGGA
Molecule: unclassified non-coding RNA, 345 nt
Filed under: soil metagenome
Description: partial contains 5.8S ribosomal RNA, internal transcribed spacer 2, and large subunit ribosomal RNA
Rfam family: 5.8S ribosomal RNA (bases 1-120)
Source: RNAcentral